Molecule: long non-coding RNA, 3060 nt
Organism: Lycium barbarum (goji berry)
Lineage: Eukaryota; Viridiplantae; Streptophyta; Magnoliopsida; Solanales; Solanaceae
Exons: 3
Source: RefSeq, a predicted model, not a curated record
CUAAACUCUUCUUACUUGUGGCCAUUUUUCACAAUUUAUGAAUUGAAGCAAAAUAUGCGACUACGUAGUGGCAAAGUAAGUCGGUCCGAGGCUGCAACAAUUACUGAUUUCGACAAAUGGUUGUCACAAGUUGGCGAUGGAUCAGUUUAUGAUGAUAUUAACAAGGAGCUUAUUAAAAUAUCUCCGGAUGUACGCAUCAAAGCGUCUAACAAUCCAAUAUGUUCGAUUGUUGAGGCAGUUUAUCCGUCCCUUUUGCAGAAUUACAACGACCCAACAUAGUUAAAAGAAAGAGCAAUACUGACGCCAAAAAAUGAAAUGGAGCAUGAGUUGAACGAGACAAUUAUGCAUAUGAUACCGGUUGAAGGAACAACAUAUUUUAGCUCGGACAAUGUAUGCAAAGCAAGCGUGAACACAAACGAUGAAGAAAUUUUGUACCCAACCAAAUUUCUUAACAACUUAAUAUUCCCUGGGAUCCCUAACCAUGACAUACACUUAAAAAUAGGCACUCCGGUUAUGCUGAUUAGAAAUCUAAACCAAACAGAAGGCCUAUGCAAUGGAACAAAAUUGAUUGUCACGCAUCUUGGUAUAUGGUCUAUCACUGCUAACAUCAUUUCAGGGAAGAACAUUGGCUCGAGAGUCACAAUUCCAAGAAUUAUUAUGUCUCCAAAUGAAUCAAAAUGGUUGUUCAAGCUUAAGAGACGCCAGCUUCCUUUAGCCCCCAGUUACGCUAUGACAAUAAAUAAAAGUCAAGGACAAUCUCUUAACCAAGUCAGGGUGUAUCAUCCGAAGCAUGUGUUCACCCAUGGACAAUUAUAUGAAGCUGUCUCCCAAGCUACAACAAGAGCAGGAUUAAGAAUAUUGAAUGCUGACGAUGACACGGAAGACCCUUCGUUCAUCAAAAAUAUUGUAUACAAGGAAGUAUUCCAGAAUGUAUGUUCGAGAGAUGAAGAAAUCGAGAUAACUAUGCAUACAAAUGAUGAUACAUAAUGGAGAUGAAACGCCAACGCCGAUAAGCAUACCAACAUAUGGUAUACAUUCCUGUUAUUCCGACAAAGAACCUAUAUUCUAAUCUCUUAAUCUUGGCGAUAAUUUUAUUCGGCUUACCAAUAGGUUUUCUAUAGCUUACAGGAUACUAAUGAUUUCAAAAUCCAGAGUAGAUCGUAAUUAGCCCAAAUUAUUGUACAGAUUUGAGUGGUAUUGCUAAGUAUUACACUACCAUGAGGAGCUUCUUUUAUCUACUCAUUUAGGCAGAUAUGAUUUCUGAAUAAAAGAGACACACACAAUGAAUGGCUUUUGGCAUUUACUCUGUGCGUCACUUCUAAUAAUAUGAAAUUGUGAAAUCUAUGUUUUAUCCUUUUGAAGAAUGUAGUCAAAACUAAGCUAAAUGAAGAUAUCCCAAAGAUACAGUGAUAGACAGGCUUUUGACAAGUAAACACAUUGAUUAAAUGUAGUUAUCCUAAAGUUCCAGUAAUAGACAGGCUUUUGACAAGUAAUGUAAAUAUGUGAUCACUGGUAGUUUGAUAAAAUGAGGUUGCGACUUAUCCCCGAAUUUGAUUGAUGCUUUGUUGGGCUUAACGGCCCAAAGAUACUCUUAAAAUGAUGUGAUAUUGUCCGCUUUGAGCCAAGCUCGCACGGUUUUCCCUAAAAGGCCUCACAUCAUUAAGAGUAUCUAACUCCUUAUAAGUAGAGCUCAUUUUUCUUUCCAGCUACCAACGUGGUAUUUUGUUCGCACACCCAAUAAUCUCCCCCUCGAACUAAGUUCCACAUGACUCAUUACGGGUUAGAGAUUCAACGUGUCAAUGUGUUACCCACAUCAUCAGAGUAUUUACGGUCACCGAAGCCUAAAGGCUGUGUAUGCGUCUUCAAAGUUACAGGUAAAGGUUGUAAACCGGCCCAUAGACGGGCAAAGGCACUAAGCCGGGCCCCACACCACACUUCGCUAUCUUCAUACUCGUCCCGCCAAACCAAAGGCUGUGUAUGCGUCUUCAAAGCUUGGGCUUAACGGCCCAAAGAUACUCUUAACAUGAUAUGAUAUUGUCCGCUUUGGGCCAAGCCUACACGGUUUUUCCUAAAAGGCCUCACAUCAUUAAGAGUAUCUAACUCCUUAUAAGUAGCUCCUUUUUCUUUCCAGCUAUCAAUGUGGUACUUUGUAAGCACACCCAACAAAUUGGACAAUCCUACUAUUAAAGGACUAGGAUAUAGACCUCUUCUCUUGCAUAAUGUGUCAUGAUCUGUGCAAUCCUGCAAGAAAUGAAUCAAAAUAAAUUUACAAUUAGAAUAUAUGGAUCACAUACAUUGAAAUUGUAGGAAACCGAUGCGUCAUUAUGUGGAUGGUGUAGUUACUAAACAUUAUAUCUCACAGUCAAUGUUUCAGAUGGUCAAGUUGGGCUAUCCUUGGCAGGUUCUGUAAAACGGCCCGAGUAACCAUACGGGCAUCAACCACAUAGGGUUAUUACCAAAUGAGUGGUAUUUUCACCUCGGACAUGCAGUACUCAUUGGAUUGUUGGCUCAUGCACUCACAACAAUUUCUUUAGGUUAUGUUUGUUCACAAAUACAGUGAUGGGAUGGUUCUUGGUUCGGUGCUUCCUUAUUUCAUCCUCCUAUUUUAUGCUGGUUGUAGUCAUGAUCUAUAUCCAACACUUAACUCAAGCAUAGACGGAGCCAGAAAUGAUCUGAAGUAUAUCGGUUUAAUGAAAUUCUUAGUCAGAAUAUGUGGCAAUUUUUUUAUCACUACCCCCUUUCAGGGCUCAAAGACGGUAGAUAGAAGGGCUAUAAAAUUCCACAAGGUGGCCUUUUCAUUAUGGUCAUAUGUCGUCAUUAUCAUUUCGAAAUUCUAGGUUGUCGAGGGAUUUCAUUCAUUGCGCAGACACUGUUUUCGUUUUGCUGUGCCGUAGGUGUAGCUUUAUAUCUGAUGGGAAGGAGCUAUGUUACUAGGACAUGGUACCUUUGAAAUUUUGAAUAUUUUCGUAACAAUGUAAAGGCUCUGAUUCAUUUUGUUUUCAAGAAAAUGCAUUUUGCAAGUGCUCCUUUUUAUCCCAAUUCUGUCCCAUAGAAUUUGUU